CGUAGGGGACAAGCGUUAUCCGGAUUUACUGGGCGUAAAGCGCCCGUAGGCGGCUUGACAAGUUGGAUGUGAAAGCUCCCGGCUUAACUGGGAGAGGUCAUUCAAAACUGUCAGGCUAGAGGAUGGAAGAGGAGAGCGGAAUUCCCGGUGUAGUGGUGGAAUGCGUAGAGAUCGGGAGGAACACCAGUGGCGAAAGCGGCUCUCUGGUUCACACCUGACGCUGAGGGGCGAAAGCGUGGGGAGCGAACGGGAUUAGAUACCCCGGUAGUCCACGCUGUAAACGACGGAUACUAGGUGUAGGGGGUCAUUAACCCCCUCUGUGCCGCAGCAAACGCGUUAAGUAUCCCGCCUGGGGAGUACGGCCGCAAGGUUA
This 373-nucleotide ribosomal RNA is filed under the name uncultured organism. RNAcentral's name for it is "bacterial SSU rRNA". It matches the Rfam family "Bacterial small subunit ribosomal RNA", at positions 526 to 896 of the family's 1533-position model. The record is from RNAcentral.